Molecule: ribosomal RNA, 501 nt
Filed under: uncultured bacterium
Lineage: Bacteria
Description: bacterial SSU rRNA
Rfam family: Bacterial small subunit ribosomal RNA
Source: RNAcentral
UCAGGAUGAACGCUAGCGACAGGCUAACACAUGCAAGUCGAGGGGCAGCAUAAAAGUAGCAAUACUUGGUGGCGACCGGCGCACGGGUGAGUAACGCGUAUGCAACCUACCUAUCAGAGGGGAAUAACCCGGCGAAAGUCGGACUAAUACCGCAUAAAACAGGGACACCGCAUGGUGAUAUUUGUUAAAGAAAUUCGCUGAUAGAUGGGCAUGCGUUCCAUUAGGUAGUUGGUGAGGUAACGGCUCACCAAGCCGACGAUGGAUAGGGGAACUGAGAGGUUGGUCCCCCACACCGGUACUGAGACGCGGACCAGACUCCUACGGGAGGCAGCAGUGAGGAAUAUUGGUCAAUGGGCGAGAGCCUGAACCAGCCAAGUCGCGUGAAAGGAAGAAGGAUCUAUGGUUCGUAAACUUCUUUUGCAGGGGAAUAAAGUGCAGGACGUGUCCUGUUUUGUAUGUACCCUGAGAAUAAGGAUCGGCUAACUCCGUGCCAGCCGCAGC